Cryptotermes secundus is the source of this 306-nucleotide long non-coding RNA. RefSeq lists it as uncharacterized. The record is from RefSeq and is a predicted model, not a curated record. NCBI's taxonomy places the organism in Eukaryota, Metazoa, Arthropoda, Insecta, Blattodea, Kalotermitidae. The transcript is spliced from 3 exons.
GUUCGCCAGAAGAUCCACUUGUGUCUCAUUCAUCCAUUACUUCCAUUCUAUGGCACACUCAUUCUCUCUGGGGAGGCCGGUUCAUCUACAUUACCGGUUCCUCCUCUGCUUGAGGUCUUUUUCGUUUUGGAGGGGGUCGUCCCCUCCACAAGGUCCAGUCCUUCAUCAAGUUUGUCUUCGGAGGUUCCUCAUGUCGACGUAACAGCCCUUGAUGCGUUGUUCGUCCUUGCCGGCUUCGUCGUUCCUCCUGGUCUUCCAGCCGCUUGCUGGCACGUGACCGUGGCGCCAAGUCCUCUGUCCGGCAUC